This 951-nucleotide long non-coding RNA is filed under the name Capra hircus (goat). RNAcentral describes it as "lncRNA (ENSCHIG00000007048.1)". The record is from RNAcentral. Lineage: Eukaryota; Metazoa; Chordata; Mammalia; Artiodactyla; Bovidae.
CAUGUGAAUCAGGCAUGUUUACGCAUGCUUUUUGAGACUGGGCUCUUUUCAAUUCAUAGAGUGAAAAAAAAACCUGAAGGUUGCACAGUCGUGUAAGAAUCAAUUUCCCUUGUAGCAGGCUAUUUUCCUCUUCUGCUUCAGAGUGUGGCACUGCACCCUGAGGAGCCCUCAUGUGGACAGUCUAGCGAAGAAGAGAGCAAGAUGGCUCAAAUGCUCCUUCUGCGUAAAAUCAACUAGGGAAAUGAUCAUGUAAGUAAGCAGAGAAGAAAGCUGCAGACUGUAGAAGCUCAGAUGUGUUUAGGUGAUGAAAUCUUCCCCAUAGGCCUUGUGAGGAAGCAUUUCAUCUUGAGUAUCAAGAGCUGACUUGGGUGUGGAGAAUGACUCCUUCCCAGUUUUCCAGAAACAUCAACAAAACCCCUCUUGUUUGCAACAACAAGGAUAUGCUCAUUUAAAUUAAGUUGAUCUCUGGAGACGGAUGGACAUGACUUACACCAAGCCUGCCCUGGGCAGCAGAUGCAUCCAGAACUUAACAUCAUUGAUACCAGUCUCUCUCAAUGAUGUUUUCUUGAAAGUACUUUUUAUCAGGUCUGGUGACUGAACAGGGAAACAAGGAGACCUUUGAUGGCCCUCAGCGGCAACGAGCAACAGCAGCGAAGGUGCCUGAGGAAUCCCUUGAGUCGCUGCUUCCUCACUGCCUCUGGAGGUGGUGGGUAAGUUUCCUCCAAUCCUCCAUCCAUGAUUGUGUGUUAGGAGUGUUCACUGUUUUGAGCAUUUUUGCAUUUUGAGCAUUUUUUUUUCCUGUGGCCUGGAUCCCCAAACUGGCCUGAGUUGGGUGCCGUGGGACAUAGAGAUAGGACUGUUUCUAGUGACAAGCCUGGUCCGACCCCUAAACCAGACCCGGUGGAGGAUCAGGCCGGGUCCAAUUUACGCUGGAUUGGGUCCAGAAUAAGG